Lemur catta (Ring-tailed lemur) is the source of this 104-nucleotide small nucleolar RNA. RefSeq annotates it as small nucleolar RNA U13. NCBI's taxonomy places the organism in Eukaryota, Metazoa, Chordata, Mammalia, Primates, Lemuridae. The record is from RefSeq and is a predicted model, not a curated record. The transcript has a single exon.
AUGCUUUUUCAGUUCAUAAAGGUGACGACUGGGUUUUCAUACACCUGUGUGAGAUGUGCCUCCCUCAAACCUUGUUAUAAUGUUGGCAUGUUAUUCAUCUGACA